UUCCCUGUCUAAGCCCUCGCCGGAGAGAAGCGAGGUGCAGAAUCGAAGACAGCGGUCGUUCCCGCCCCCAUUCGCGUUUCACCGCCGAUCCUCCUGAGAAUGAGAAGCCGGCUCCAUCCGACGGCGGCGAGAGGAACAAAUCCG
Zingiber officinale is the source of this 144-nucleotide long non-coding RNA. RefSeq lists it as uncharacterized. Lineage: Eukaryota; Viridiplantae; Streptophyta; Magnoliopsida; Zingiberales; Zingiberaceae. The record is from RefSeq and is a predicted model, not a curated record. The transcript is spliced from 2 exons.